Molecule: long non-coding RNA, 972 nt
Organism: Helicoverpa armigera (cotton bollworm)
Lineage: Eukaryota; Metazoa; Arthropoda; Insecta; Lepidoptera; Noctuidae
Exons: 2
Source: RefSeq, a predicted model, not a curated record
UACCUUUGUUGCUUUAUUUGGCUCUAGUAAGAUAGGUUUUCUAAAAACGCGAAAUAUGGCACUUAAUAUUCCAAAUGCAUUCUCAACGACACGCCGAGCUCGGCUAAGGCGAUAAUUAAAUAUUCUUUCUUUAGAACCAUUUUCUGGGUUCCCGCUCAGCCUUAUCCAGGAUCCGUCUACAAUGGAAGCAGACUUUGUUCCCGACUGUUUCUGACGCUUGUCGGCCAUUAUUUCUUCGGAGCAUAUUUUGGAGUUUCCUGUCUGGUUUUUUAGGAGGGCCUUAAUCUCAAGCUACUCUUGUGCACGUGGUCACCGCGUGGGUGAUUGGUGUCGCCGUGGUCUUGCGACUGUUCGUCGGCCAGGUACGGUCCGACGGGUGAGCUGUGACAGCGUGGCUGACCCACAGUGGCGGCUACCGCCUCCACGCUCCUCGUUACAUGAAGACGUCAGGUACCUUGUGUUCUGCGUGAGUGCUGUGUGAUUAUCUGUCCUGUACGACAUACCCCGGAGGACACGAUUUCCGUGUGGAGAUAGACGGACCCCGUAUAUCACCGAUGCCAAGGGGAGCUAUUUGAGAGACUGAGGGAGAGACUUUCAGACUAGGGAGUUGUAUGCAGAGAGAGAGUACUUUGUGAGCCUUGUCUAACAAGAGCUUUGUAUUAAUUUUAUUAUCUGGCUGCGUGUGUGCAGCAUAGUAAUUACUUUAUUUAACGAUUGAGCUACCAGUCACCAGUGUUCACCUCUCGAACUUGCAAAGCGGCCCUGAGGCCUUGUUUAGAGUCAAUAUACUCAUGUUCAAAGGUAUAGGAUUUUGACAGAGGUUGCCACUUCAGAUCACUGUGGAACCCGAGACAUAGUGGUCUGGGGCGGUCAGCCCUGUACGGUGUGUGCAAUUAUUAUUGUGUGUCUAUUACAGCAUUGUAUUAUAAUAACGUAACUUUUGUCUGUAAAAUACAUGGAAUUGAAAUAGAA